CUGAAGCGGGAAUAGCCCACCAUGCGAAUCUGCGCUUGCGCCGAAUUGUGGUCUGGAGACUCUCGCAUUACUGGUCGGGCCAAGUCCCUUGGAACAGGGCAGCAAAGAGGGUGAGACUCCCGUCCGCCUGGCCUCUAGAGCGAGUGUCGACGAGUCGAGUUGUUUGGGAUUGCAGCUCCAAGUUGGUGGUAAAUUCCAUCUAAGGCUAAAUAUUGGUGGGAGACCGAUAGCGAACAAGUACCGUGAGGGAAAGAUGCAAAGAACUUUGAAAAGAGAGUUAAAGAGUACCUGAAAUUGCUGAAAUGGAAGCGAAGGAAACUAGUGCCAGCUGCGUCAUACUUCCCCGCUCGCUUGCAGGCAGGGCGCUGUGGCCAGUGUUGCCAGGUUAGGUUGGAUAGAGCCGAAAAGCUCCGGCAAGACUCGAUCCGACCGAAUCUGACGAAAUGGUUUUCUUUUUCCCGUCUAGAAACACGGACCAAGGAGUCUAACAUAUGUGCGAGUACAGGGGUGGCAAACCCCGGUGCGCAAUGAAAGUGACAGUGGCUGGAUCUUUGCACAGUCCGCCGGCCAAGAUCCCUCGGGAGAACGGUCUGAGUGUGAGCAUACAUGUUGGGACCCGAAAGAUGGUGAACUAUGC
This 637-nucleotide ribosomal RNA is filed under the name Frustulia aotearoa. RNAcentral describes it as "eukaryotic LSU rRNA". It matches the Rfam family "Eukaryotic large subunit ribosomal RNA", at positions 93 to 836 of the family's 3401-position model. Lineage: Eukaryota; Bacillariophyta; Bacillariophyceae; Naviculales; Amphipleuraceae. The record is from RNAcentral.